CCGUACACCUGACCCAUACCCGGAACUUGUUGUUGCUGCUGAUGGUACAUUUGACCCGCGGGGACAGAGUAUUGCUGAACAUAUUGUCCCUGCAUUUGAACGGGAACGUUCCCUUGCAUCUGAACCGGAACGUUCCCUUGCAUUUGAACCGGUACAUUCCCUUGCAUUUGAACCGAAACGUUCCCCUGUUGUUGAACUGGUCCGGGUCCAGGGACAUAGUAAACCGGAAUAUGCUGAACCGGAGCAGCGGGACCCGAGU
This 259-nucleotide long non-coding RNA is filed under the name Linum usitatissimum (flax). Its description in RNAcentral is "long non-coding RNA (LUSI_LNC003823)". The record is from RNAcentral. Lineage: Eukaryota; Viridiplantae; Streptophyta; Magnoliopsida; Malpighiales; Linaceae.